UCCGUAGGGUGCGAUCGUUAAUCGGAAUUACUGGGCGUAAAGCGUGCGCAGGCGGUUAUGUAAGACAGAGGUGAAAUUCCCGGGCUCAACCUGGGAACUGCAUUUGUGACUGCAUGACUAGAGUACGGCAGAGGGGGAUGGAAUUCCGCGUGUAGCAGUGAAAUGCGUAGAUAUGCGGAGGAACACCGAUGGCGAAGGCAAUCCCCUGGGCCUGUACUGACGCUCAUGCACGAAAGCGUGGGGAGCAAACAGG
RNAcentral lists this ribosomal RNA (253 nucleotides) under uncultured bacterium. RNAcentral describes it as "partial 16S ribosomal RNA". It matches the Rfam family "Bacterial small subunit ribosomal RNA", at positions 524 to 776 of the family's 1533-position model. The record is from RNAcentral.